CCUACGGGAGGCAGCAGUCGAGAAUUAUUCACAAUGGGGGAAACCCUGAUGCUGCGACGCCGCGUGGGGGAAUGAAGGUCUUCGGAUUGUAAACCCCUGUCAUGUGGGAGCAAAUUAAAAAGAUAGUACCACAAGAGGAAGAGCCGGCUAACUCUGUGCCAGCAGCCGCGGUACUACAGAGGGCUCAAGCGUUGUCCGGACUCACUGGGCGUAAAGGGUGCGUAGGCUGUUUAGUAAGGAGUGUGUGAAAGGCGCGGGCUCAACCCGCGGACGGCACAGGAUACUACGGUACUAGAGUAAUGGAGGGGGAAGCGGAAUUCUUGGUGUAGCAGUGAAAUGCGUAGAUAUCGAGAGGAACACUCGUGGCGAAGGCGGGUUCCUGGACAUUAACUGACGCUGAGGCACGAAGGCCAGGGGAGCGAAAGGGAUUAGAUACCCGGGUAGUC
RNAcentral lists this ribosomal RNA (446 nucleotides) under uncultured bacterium. RNAcentral describes it as "partial 16S ribosomal RNA". It matches the Rfam family "Bacterial small subunit ribosomal RNA", at positions 338 to 795 of the family's 1533-position model. The record is from RNAcentral.